This 204-nucleotide long non-coding RNA is filed under the name Mytilus galloprovincialis (Mediterranean mussel). Lineage: Eukaryota; Metazoa; Mollusca; Bivalvia; Mytilida; Mytilidae. The record is from RNAcentral.
GCCUUUGUUUCUAUGAAGAUCUGUCAGUUUGAUGCAAACAUUUUUACAGAUUCGAAAUAUUUUUUUAUUUCGUCUAUUUUCUUUUUUUCGUCCUCCAAUUUCACAAUCACUUCAUUUAUUUUAAGACAGUAUUCAUUCUCCAUUGCUGAUACGUCAUCAAGUAAUACUCCUUCUAAGUUAUCCAAAACUGUAUUUAUUUCUUGA